Molecule: transfer RNA, 75 nt
Filed under: Candidatus Saccharimonadota bacterium
Lineage: Bacteria; Candidatus Saccharimonadota
Description: tRNA-Gln
Rfam family: tRNA
About the family: Transfer RNA (tRNA) molecules are approximately 80 nucleotides in length.
Source: RNAcentral
UGGCGAGUCGCCAAGUGGUAAGGCACUGGGUUCUGGUUCCAGCAUUCGGGGGUUCGAAUCCCUCCUCGCCAGCCA